CCUUUCCUCCUCCUACCAGUGGUCCUUGAUUCUACUCCCCUUCCCUUAGCUCUUGAUGACUUUCCCAUUAUGAUACUGGAUGUGGGAAGGAGCCCCCUUCCUGGGGAGAGACAUGAAGUCACCUUUCUUCUUCACAAGCCUAAGAAUGAGGGAGCCUUUCCUGUCUGGCAACAAAGCAGAGCAGAUAUCUCUCAUGGGCCCCAUAUGAUCAUGGGCUCCCUGCGCUCCAAACUUAUGCCUCACCCAUCGGCUACAGUGUGUGAAGUCCUGCCAUCAGAGUCAGCCGAGGAAAAAACUGAGGAUCGGAGAGGCGAAAUUAUUUGUCCAAGGUCACCAAUCCACGAAAUGAAGAGGGGUAGAGAAGUAGAAUCAGAAUCCAAUUGAUCCAGCGUUCUUUCCACUACUGCACGAGUCUCUCUAACCUCAACUUCCUAUAAUUCUCAAGAAAUAAGUCUUUCUAACAACAAAAAAACAUGCUUCUCACCUCCUGAUGGAACAAUGAUGGACUCAGGAUGCAGAUUGAGACGUAUUUUUGGACAACGCCAAUAAAGAAUUUGUUCUGCCUGA
This is a long non-coding RNA of Sarcophilus harrisii (Tasmanian devil), 567 nucleotides long. RefSeq lists it as uncharacterized. The transcript has 2 exons. NCBI's taxonomy places the organism in Eukaryota, Metazoa, Chordata, Mammalia, Dasyuromorphia, Dasyuridae. The record is from RefSeq and is a predicted model, not a curated record.